This 357-nucleotide RNase P RNA is filed under the name Gammaproteobacteria bacterium. RNAcentral's name for it is "RNase P RNA component class A". It matches the Rfam family "Bacterial RNase P class A". Rfam says of the family: Ribonuclease P (RNase P) is a ubiquitous endoribonuclease, found in archaea, bacteria and eukarya as well as chloroplasts and mitochondria. Its best characterised activity is the generation of mature 5'-ends of tRNAs by cleaving the 5'-leader elements of precursor-tRNAs. Lineage: Bacteria; Pseudomonadati; Pseudomonadota; Gammaproteobacteria. The record is from RNAcentral.
GGAGUCGGCCGGAUGAUCGCUGUGCCCCUUGCGGGCAUGGAGGAAAGUCCGGGCUCCACAGGGCAGGGUGCCAGGUAACGCCUGGGCGGCGCGAGCCGACGGAAAGUGCAACAGAGAGCAGACCGCCGAUGGCCGGCGCAAGCCGGCACAGGCAAGGGUGAAAGGGUGCGGUAAGAGCGCACCGCGCAGGUGGCAACACGCUGCGGCACGGCAAACCCCACCCGGAGCAAGGCCAAAUAGGGGUGCAAUGGUGUGGCCCGCAUCGCACCCGGGUAGGCCGCUUGAGGUAUCCGGUGACGGAUGCCCCAGAUGAAUGAUCAUCCUCGACAGAACCCGGCUUACAGGCCGACUCCAAAU